GUUGUCGUGGUCGAGUGGUUAAGGCGAUGGACCAGAAAUCUUUUAGGAUCUUCCCGCGCAGGUUCGAAUCCUGCCGAAAUCG
RNAcentral lists this transfer RNA (82 nucleotides) under Dreissena polymorpha. It matches the Rfam family "tRNA". From Rfam's summary of the family: Transfer RNA (tRNA) molecules are approximately 80 nucleotides in length. Their secondary structure includes four short double-helical elements and three loops (D, anti-codon, and T loops). Lineage: Eukaryota; Metazoa; Mollusca; Bivalvia; Myida; Dreissenidae. The record is from Rfam by way of RNAcentral.